This 253-nucleotide ribosomal RNA is filed under the name uncultured bacterium. RNAcentral describes it as "partial 16S ribosomal RNA". It matches the Rfam family "Bacterial small subunit ribosomal RNA", at positions 524 to 776 of the family's 1533-position model. The record is from RNAcentral.
UACGUAGGGUGCGAGCGUUAAUCGGAAUUACUGGGCGUAAAGCGUGCGCAGGCGGUUUUGUAAGCCAGAUGUGAAAGCCCCGGGCUCAACCUGGGAACUGCAUUCGAGACUGCAUUGCUAGAGUAUGGGAGAGGGAAGUGGAAUUUCCGGUGUAGCGGUGAAAUGCGUAGAUAUCGGAAGGAACAUCAGUGGCGAAAGCGACUUCCUGGACCAAUACUGACGCUCAUGUGCGAAAGCGUGGGGAGCAAACAGG